Long non-coding RNA from Hyla sarda, 157 nucleotides. RefSeq lists it as uncharacterized. The record is from RefSeq and is a predicted model, not a curated record. Lineage: Eukaryota; Metazoa; Chordata; Amphibia; Anura; Hylidae. The transcript is spliced from 3 exons.
AGGGGUCUCUGUUGCAAUCAAAAACACAGUGGCUUUCACCCUGAAAGAGGAGGUCUCAUACACGCAAGGCAGUGACUCAGGAACUGCCGCUCCUCUCACGGGACCAUCCCAUCUCUAGUUUUGAGUAAUAAAUAAUCUGCUACUGUGGACAACAAGC